RNAcentral lists this ribosomal RNA (301 nucleotides) under uncultured bacterium. RNAcentral's name for it is "partial 16S ribosomal RNA". It matches the Rfam family "Bacterial small subunit ribosomal RNA", at positions 509 to 807 of the family's 1533-position model. The record is from RNAcentral.
CAGCCGCCGCGGGAAUACGAAGGGGGCUAGCGUUGUUCGGAAUCACUGGGCGUAAAGCGCACGUAGGCGGACGCUUAAGUCAGGGGUGAAAUCCCGAGGCUCAACCUCGGAACUGCCUUUGAUACUGGGUGUCUUGAGUCCGGGAGAGGUGAGUGGAACUGCGAGUGUAGAGGUGAAAUUCGUAGAUAUUGGGAAGAACACCGGUGGCGGAGGCGGCGACCUGGUCCUUUACUGACGCUGAGGCGCGAAAGCGUGGGGAGCAAACAGGAUUAGAUACCCGCGUAGUCCCUGUCUCUUAUAC